Molecule: ribosomal RNA, 867 nt
Filed under: uncultured delta proteobacterium
Lineage: Bacteria; Deltaproteobacteria
Description: bacterial SSU rRNA
Rfam family: Bacterial small subunit ribosomal RNA
Source: RNAcentral
UACACAUGCAGUCGAACGAGAAACCUUCGGGUGAGUACAGUGGCGCACGGGUGAGGAACGCGUAGGUAAUCUACCCUCUGGCGGGGGACAACACUCCGAAAGGAAUGCUAAUACCGCGUAAGACCACACUCACUACGGUGAGAGUGGUAAAAGGUGCCCUUAAAGCACCACCAGAGGAUGAGCCUGCGUCCCAUCAGCUAGUUGGUGAGGUAACGGCUUACCAAGGCGAAGACGGGUAGCUGGUCUGAGAGGAUGAUCAGCCACACUGGCACUGGAACACGGGCCAGACUCCUACGGGAGGCAGCAGUGAGGAAUAUUGGGCAAUGGGCGAAAGCCUGACCCAGCCACGCCGCGUGUGUGAUGAAGGCCUUCGGGUCGUAAAGCACUGUGGGGAGGGACGGAACCGCGCAUCAGGAAAUGGGUGCGCCUUGACGGUACCUCCUUAGCAAGCACCGGCUAACUCUGUGCCAGCAGCCGCGGUAAUACAGAGGGUGCAAACGUUGCUCGGAUUUACUGGGCGUAAAGCGCGUGUAGGCGGACUCGCAAGUCGGUUGUGAAAUCCCUGGGCUCAACCUAGGAACUGCAUCCGAAACUGCGUGUCUUGAGUAAUGGAGAGGGUGGCGGAAUUCCCGGUGUAGAGGUGAAAUUCGUAGAUAUCGGGAGGAACAUCAGUGGCGAAGCGGCCACCUGGACAUUUACUGACGCUGAGACGCGAAAGCGUGGGGAGCAAACAGGAUUAGAUACCCUGGUAGUCCACGCCGUAAACGAUGAGUACUAGGUGCAGCGGAUAUCGACCUCUGCUGUGCCGUAGCUACGCGUUAAGUUCUCCGCCUGGGGGAGUACACAUGCAUACACAUGCACAAAGAA